RNAcentral lists this ribosomal RNA (245 nucleotides) under uncultured Zavarzinella sp. RNAcentral describes it as "partial 16S ribosomal RNA". It matches the Rfam family "Bacterial small subunit ribosomal RNA", at positions 524 to 768 of the family's 1533-position model. The record is from RNAcentral. Lineage: Bacteria; Pseudomonadati; Planctomycetota; Planctomycetia; Gemmatales; Gemmataceae.
GACGAACCGUGCGAACGUUAUUCGGAAUCACUGGGCUUAAAGGGCGCGUAGGCGGGCCGCCAAGUUCGAGGUGAAAUCCUCCGGCUCAACCGGAGAACUGCCUCGAAUACUGGAGGCCUCGAGGCGGGUAGGGGCAUGCGGAACUGGGGGUGGAGCGGUGAAAUGCGUUGAUAUCCACAGGAACUCCGGUGGCGAAGGCGGCAUGCUGGACCCGAUCUGACGCUGAGGCGCGAAAGCCAGGGGAG